This is a long non-coding RNA of Rhagoletis zephyria (snowberry fruit fly), 2729 nucleotides long. RefSeq lists it as uncharacterized. Lineage: Eukaryota; Metazoa; Arthropoda; Insecta; Diptera; Tephritidae. The record is from RefSeq and is a predicted model, not a curated record.
AUUAAAAUUUUUUUUGUAGUCUUAAGUAGCAAUUUCUUUUUUAGCUUAGGGUAUUGUAAAAUAGUUGUUACAAAUUUAUUUCUUAUAAAUAAACCUAAGUACAUUCAAAACAUAUUUUUUUCACUAGUAUUUAUAAUAUUGAGUUUAUAUAAAUUAACGAAUUGUGUUCAGUUGCGAAAAAUUUCUAUUUAGUGAAUAAUAUUUCAUUUUAAAAUUUUUUAUGUUCGUGUGAUUGACUUGAAAAAUUCAUAAACAUCUUUUUGUUAUAUUUUGAAAUAAUAGUUGGUUGAGAUAAGAUUUUCAACUAACUUUUUGAACUCUGGUUUUGUGGGUCGUUUUUACUUUAUCUUUUUCUUUAUCGAAGAUAGUGAUAUUAACAUCAUCUACUUUAGUUACAACGUGAAGACCCUGACAUAUAUUUUCAUGCUAGAUUCUGGGUUCUUUUUGUACCAGAACGAGAUCGUUUUCUUUAAUUUGUACUGGGCGAAAGUGUAUUAUACAAAACUUUGUUGCAGAUUUUAUGUAUGUUAAUUAAUUCUUUGGCUAUUGCACGUGAUUUUUGCAUCCGGUACUUAACCUCUUUUGCAUAAUUUUCAACAUUUUAAAUGGGAUCAGUUUUUCGUUUUUUUUUUCAAAUCGUGCGGUAAAGUCGGUGUUUUCCCGAAAACUGGUUCGAAUGGAGUAAAUUUAUUGUUAAAAACAGAAUUUGGAGUAGUAUUAUGCAAAAAAGUGAAAUACCUAAGAUAACUGUCCCAGUCAGAGAUAAGGUGUGUACUCGUAUUGAGAGGAAAAAGUUCUCCAGCAGCAAAUGUUCUGAGAAUUUACCAGCAUUCGCUCUCAAAGAGACGAAAUAUCAACAGAAGUACGAGAACGCAAUAUUUGCAAAAACUUGCAAGCAGCUAAACAGCUGAUUCAUUUGGUGGGAAAAAAUAAAGAAUAAAGAAUAAAAAUGGAAAAUAACAAUGAAUUAACAAUUAAUUGUUCCCCAGGAACUUUCAAAAAGAUUCAAGCAGGUAAGAAACGGAAAUUAUGAUUAUUAGACUAUAAGCAUUGUAAAUAAACACUUUUUAUUUACUUAUUGAAACCUGAAAAUCCAAAUUGUAGGCAGUGUGUAAUACAGCAAGGUGCCGGGGAAGAUACGUUUGGACAAAUAACGUUUUCCCAAAAAGAGCCAGAAAUAUCUAUCUAAGCAGGCUGCUUGUGCAUAUCAGCAAAAUGUGGAUACGGCCCCUAGAGAAUCGCCAGAUUUAGCAAAACCAUUGUGGUUGGAUGCGCCAUCGAGAUUUUUAAUCGAGAAGGUUUGGGAUUUAUGUCUAAGGGUUGGCAAAAGCGAUUCUCUAAAAAACACGAAGCAAAUGUGGACUACAACUCGCAAAGAACUUUGCGAAAUGGGAUACAUGUUUACGGCGGUGCAAGUGCAGACGAAAUUCUAUACCCUAGAACGGAACUGCAAGCAAGCGGCUUCGAAUAAAUCCAAAACGGGAAGGGCAAGACAGAUCUGCGCAUAUCAAAAUGAACUCCAGUCUUGACGUCAGCACUGGUGUAGAAGAAUUCUUAGAUGCGGCGCCAGCUACACCAGACGAGCCCGAUUUCACGCCGUCCACUUCCAACAAAAGGAAACCUUCGCCAGCUACACCAGGUACAUAUUAGAUGUCCCCGAUUUCACGCCGCACACCUCCAAAAGAAAGAAAACUUCGCUAGAGCGGUAUUUAGAAAAAAAGAAAAGUCAGAUGAAAGAUUGGAGAAACUGUUUGAGGAGAGUUUGAAGAGAAAGGCUUAUUUGAUGGAAAGGAAAGAGCAGAGGGAAAUAGAAAAACUGCUAAUAAUGAUGUCGAUAGCUGAUUUGCUGAAAAAGUAAAACCAUGGAACAAAUCCGAUCCAAACUGUCAUCAGUGUGUAAUACAGAAAGUGGCCGGGGAAGAUAAAAAGAACCAGAAAUGUCUAUCUAAGCAGCCUGCUUGUGCAUAUCAGCAAAAUGUGGAUACGGCCUCUAGAGAAUCGCCAGAUUUAGCAAAACCAUUGUGGUUGGAUGCGCCAACGAGAUUGGAAAAAGCGAUUCUCUAAAAAACACGAAGCAAAUGUGGACUACAAUUCGCAACGAACUUUGCGAAAUGGGAUACAUGUUUACGGCGGUGCAAGUGCAGACGAAAUUCUAUACCCUAGAACGGAACUACAAGCAAGCGGCUUCGAAUAAAUCCAAGACGGGAAGGGCAAGACAGAUCUGCGCAUAUCAAAAUGAACUCCACGAAAUAUUUAAAAAUAAGAAGUCGAUAUACCCUACAUGUGUCUUGGACAGCGAGAUGCCCAGUCUUGACGUCAGCACUGAUGUAGAAGAAUUGUAAGAUGCGGCGCCAGCUACACCAGACGAGCCCGAUUUCACGCCGUCCACUUCCAACAAAAGGAAAACUUCGCCAGCUAAACCAGCUUUUCGCGCUCUAAGAGAAAGGCUGAUUUGGGGGAAAGGAAAGAGCAGAGGGAAAUAGAAAAACUGCUAAUAAUGAAGUCGAUAGCUGAUUUGCUGAAAAAGUAAAACCAUGGUGAUUGCCAAAUGAGAAUUUGAACAAAUCCGGUAAACUUAUAGCUGAACACUUUGUUAUUUCCUAAAAAUUACUAGUUUGUAUAUGUAUACGCUUAAAUGAAAUGUGUAAGUCUGAACUUAAAAUUUAUGUUAAACGUUUAUUAGGUCGAACAGUGGUCCACAAAAUAAUAGGAGUGCGAUAUUUUGACCA